UACGUAGGGGGCAAGCGUUGUCCGGAAUCAUUGGGCGUAAAGAGCGCGUAGGCGGUCCGGUAAGUCCGCUCUGAAAGUCCGGGGCUCAACCCCGGGAGGCGGGCGGAUACUGUCGGGCUAGAGUCCGGAAGAGGCGAGUGGAAUUCCUGGUGUAGCGGUGAAAUGCGCAGAUAUCAGGAGGAACACCAAUGGCGAAAGCAGGUACCUGGACUAUUACUGACACUCAGCUGCGAAAGCUAGGGGAGCAAACAGG
This 253-nucleotide ribosomal RNA is filed under the name uncultured bacterium. RNAcentral describes it as "partial 16S ribosomal RNA". It matches the Rfam family "Bacterial small subunit ribosomal RNA", at positions 524 to 776 of the family's 1533-position model. The record is from RNAcentral.